CUUUAAACAUGUGGCGGGCGUUUCGUGAAAGCAGGCAACAGUUUCUGAUGUUUGCCAAGAGAACAAAUCACCUGACUCAAAUCAAGGUCUGAAUCUUGCACUGUUAAAGGCCUGAACACUAUCAAGCUGACGGUUGGAUGACACAGUCUUCUCACUAGGAGCUACCCACCUUUAAUGACAGCUCUGUAGUAGAAAAAGGUUCUCAGCAGUUUGUAUGACAGAUAGAAAAUGGAGAGGCAACAAUAAAGUCUAUGUACUGUCACUUAUAUGGAAAAAGAAUUCAUUUUGAGGCAUUUAGAUUAGAUUUCACUUGGUAUAAGGUGAGUCAUGAUUUCUCUGUGUUUGGUUGGAGUGGUUGUUAAUAUAUAUUUAUCACUUUUGCCAUCUUUACUAGGAAUAAUAAAACACAAUGAAGGCAAAAAUGAAAUGAACAGGGAAGUGGUUAUUUCAAUGUUCUUCAGCUAUUCCAAGAAUCUAUUGUUACUUGUAUGUGAGGAAAUAACCUAGCCAUGCCUGGGGUUCCAUUGUUGAUGGAUGUUCAUACAUGGGAGGAGGGACCAGUUUCUUUCCACUUUAUAUAUCAGUACUUCCUUAACCAUUAGGCUUUUUGCUCUUUAGUACUUACAGUAAGAAUUUGUUAUUGAGGAAAUUGAAGAGGCACAGUGGUCUAAUGGUUAGUGCAUUGGACUGCGCAUCAAGCAGUCUUUGGUUUGUUCUUGGGCAAGACACUUAACUCUCACAGUGCCUCUCACCACCCAGGUGUACAAUUGGUACCUGUACUUAGAGAAUUCAAUGCUGCCAAGGGCUUACUGUACCCUGCAACAGACUAGCAUCCCAACUAGAGGUUGGAGGGAGAGAAAUACUUUUAUCACUUGUAAUUAUGCUUCCAAAACCUGCACAGGCUGAAGUGUUUUGGAUCACUUGGUCUGACAUAGAUUCUACCUUACCUUCAUUGU
This 956-nucleotide long non-coding RNA is filed under the name Orbicella faveolata. RNAcentral describes it as "uncharacterized LOC110041061, transcript variant X1". The record is from RNAcentral. Lineage: Eukaryota; Metazoa; Cnidaria; Anthozoa; Scleractinia; Merulinidae.